UACGAAGGGGGCUAGCGUUGUUCGGAUUUACUGGGCGUAAAGCGCACGUAGGCGGAUUGUUAAGUGAGGGGUGAAAUCCCAGGGCUCAACCCUGGAACUGCCUUUCAUACUGGCAAUCUAGAGUCCGGAAGAGGUGAGUGGAACUCCUAGUGUAGAGGUGGAAUUCGUAGAUAUUAGGAAGAACACCAGUGGCGAAGGCGGCUCACUGGUCCGGUACUGACGCUGAGGUGCGAAAGCGUGGGGAGCAAACAGG
RNAcentral lists this ribosomal RNA (253 nucleotides) under uncultured bacterium. RNAcentral's name for it is "partial 16S ribosomal RNA". It matches the Rfam family "Bacterial small subunit ribosomal RNA", at positions 524 to 776 of the family's 1533-position model. The record is from RNAcentral.